Gigantopelta aegis is the source of this 1254-nucleotide long non-coding RNA. RefSeq lists it as uncharacterized. The transcript is spliced from 2 exons. Lineage: Eukaryota; Metazoa; Mollusca; Gastropoda; Neomphalida; Peltospiridae. The record is from RefSeq and is a predicted model, not a curated record.
CAUAGGGUUAAUCGACGGAGGCCAGAGUGACAGCAGUAAACAACAGUUAAGUGUUUAAAAGUUUAAUGACAGCUGACGAACUGACAGAACUCUUUGUGACUGAAGGUUGAUAAACAAACAUCUAUCCCUCAGUCACGGAACUAGCAUUUGAUAACGCGUGUGUAAAGCCUAACUAACAAGAUAACAUCUAAGUAAAACUCGCGAAUGACUCCCCAGAUUUGGUAUGCGGCUGUAUUAUGACAACGUAAAUGGUAUAUAUUCGUCCUAUAAUCCAUGAGCCAAAUGACUCGGUCAGUAGCAUCGGGUAUGGAGGUGGAUGGGGAAUGCGUACUGUGACUACACUGAAGGUCUUUAUAUUUAUCAAGACCGUAGGAGCAAAUAGGAGCAAAGAGAGUUGAUGUGUCAUACAUUUCACACAUGCCAACAGUAUUGGCAGUAUUAACAUCGAUAAAAGCAUCAACAAUGUUGACGGCCAGGGAUGUUUCAACAUGUGACAAAGAGACGAACGUUAUACCGAUGACCAGUAACUGAGGUGGUCCCACAGGCGCUUGACACAUAUUAGUAUACAUAAAUAAACUUGUUGUAUAAUUUGAUAUAUUUUAACAAUAGUUUAUUUAUGACAAAAAUGUCGAUCCCUACUACAAUGUAUAUACAAGAUACAAAGUCCGAGCGUAAUGAUGUGGCGCGGAAUUGACUCCAACCGUACCCUGAGACCUGCGUUCUCCCACAGAGUUGUCCCUGGUCAAAGGAAUUGCAUCACUACUCAGCAUUAUAUACCCAAUCGGCGAUAUGCACGUCCCUUUUUCCCAGUAUCACAGAAACGUGUAUAAGUAAGACAAUGCAAGCCCAUACUCGGUUAGGAUCACUCGGAACUUCUCCUUGAACAGAACAACAUUAAGAUGAUGGCCUGGUCCACCCUCAACCAUAGUCUGAACCGUAUCAAUCACUUUUGGGAUCAACUUCGAAGAAAACUCAGCGGAAUAUGUCCUAGUCCAAAAACAGCUGCUCGGCUCGUUGAGGCUUAGGAGAACAUCCCUUACGGUGAUCCACUCCAGGAGACGCCAGUGUCAGGUUGUUAUUAGCACCAAUGGGGGUCAUGCGUCAUAUUGACAAACUGAGUGACGUACUUUGUUCAUGCACAUGAUGAAUAUAACAUUUUACUGUUCGAUAAACAUUUUGAGUAAACUUGAAAUUGAUUUUGAUUGAAACUUUGUCCAAAAUUCUAAAUAUAAUUAAAACUUGAAAAAGCAAAAA